UACGGGGGGGGCAAGCGUUGUUCGGAAUUACUGGGCGUAAAGGGCUCGUAGGUGGCCAACUAAGUCAUGCGUGAAAUCCCUCGGCUUAACCGGGGAACUGCGUCUGAUACUGGAUGGCUUGAGUUUGGGAGAGGGAUGCGGAAUUCCAGGUGUAGCGGUGAAAUGCGUAGAUAUCUGGAGGAACACCGGUGGCGAAGGCGGCAUCCUGGACCAACACUGACGCUGAGGAGCGAAAGCCAGGGGAGCAAACGGG
This 253-nucleotide ribosomal RNA is filed under the name uncultured bacterium. Its description in RNAcentral is "partial 16S ribosomal RNA". It matches the Rfam family "Bacterial small subunit ribosomal RNA", at positions 524 to 776 of the family's 1533-position model. The record is from RNAcentral.